GCAGAAUGCAGACGAGGGCAUACGGUGGAUUCCUUGGUGGCCAGAGCCGAUGAAGGACGUGGCAGACUGCGAAAAGCCUCGGGGAGCCGUCUGCAGGCUGUGAUCCGGGGAUUUCCGAAUGGGGAAACCUGGCGCGGGUAAUGCCGCGUCAUCCCGGGCAAACCGGGAGGGGAACCGGGCGAACUGAAACAUCUCAGUAACCCGAGGAAAAGAAAGCAAACGCGAUUCCCUGAGUAGUGGCGAGCGAAACGGGAACAGCCUAAACCAAGCUAUAUCAAAUGGAGGAAUAAUUUGCAGUUUGGAAAACCUUCCAACCUGCAAACCAAAGUUCCUAAAUUUGAAAUAGCUUGGGGUUGUGGGGCGGCGCAAGGAAGAGGGAAGCAAAGAUUUCAUUGUUUCCCUCCCUCUUCAUCUUAUAAAGGAGUUACAAAUCCGGCUCUUAGCAGAAGAGACUUGGAACGGUCCGCCAUAGAGGGUGAUAGCCCCGUACGCGAAAAGAGUCGGACUCCUGCGCGCCGCCCCAAGUAACGCGGGACACGAGGAACCCUGCGUGAAUCUGGGAGGACCACCUCCUAAGGCUAAAUACUCCUGGCGACCGAUAGUGAACCAGUACCGUGAGGGAAAGGUGAAAAGAACCCCGGAAGGGGAGUGAAAUAGAACCUGAAACCGUAUGCCCACAGCCGGUGGGAGCGGAAAAGUUGUCUGGGCAUACCCAAUGUUCGAUAACUUUUCCGUGACCGCGUGCAUUUUGGAUAAUGAGCCGGCGAGUUGCUGUCGGUGGCGAGGUUAAUCCCGUUAAUCACGGGAGGAGCCGUAGCGAAAGCGAGUCUGAAUAGGGCGUAUAGUCGCCGGCAGCAGACCCGAGGCCGGGCGAUCUACCCAUGGACAGGGCGAGGCCCCCCUUUUGGGGGCUCAGGCCCGAACCCGUUGGUGCUGCAAUACCAUGGGAUGAGCUGUGGGUAGGGGUGAAAUGCCAAUCGAGCCCGGAUCUAGCUGGUUCUCCGCGAAAUGCAUUUAGGUGCAGCCUCGGAUGGUCGACUACGCAGGUAGAGCACUGGAGGGGGUAAGUUCGACGCCUCGAACCCAACCCAACCAAACUCCGAAUGGCGUAGCCAAAAGUCCGGGAGUGGGGUUGCGGGAUUUGCGACUCCGCAACCGAGAGGGGAACAACCCAGAUCGCCAGCUAAGGUCCCAAAGUGCGAGCUAAGUGUUUGCAAAGGUGUGGGAAGGCAUUGACGACCGGGAUGUAGGCUUAGAAGCAGCCAUCAUCUAAGGAGUGCGUAAUAGCUCACCGGUGGAGCCAACCUGCGCCGAAAAUUAACGGGGCUAAGCUCGCCACCGAAGCUGUGGGGUUAGCUUCAGCUGAAUAAAUCUUGUAUUGCAAAAGCUGAUAGCUAACCGGUAGCGGAGCGUUCCCUGUGGGUUGAAGUUCGAGCGUAAGCUCGGGUGGACUGCAGGGAAGUGAGAAUGCCGGCACGAGUAGCGCUAAGAAGGGUGAGAAUCCCUUCCGCCGAAAGCCUAAGGUUUCCGAAGCAACGUUCGUCAGCUUCGGGUUAGCCGACCCUAAACCGAGGCCGAAAGGCGUAGGCGAUGGAUGGUCCGGUUAAUAUUCCGGCGCCACCGGGAAAACCUUGAGUGAAUAUUGUUCUCAACUUGUUUUGUUGUCGGAGGGACGCGGGUAGGCCAACUCGGGGCACGCUUGGAAGUGCACCCGGGAAGGCCGAACCGCCAAGAAAAGCUCCGACAGCCUUACCCGGUGACCGUACCGCAAACCGACACUGGUAGGUGAGGAGAGAAUCCUCAGGCGUUCGGGAGAACUCUCGUCAAGGAAUUCGGCAAACUGGCCCCGUAACUUCGGGAGAAGGGGUGCCCGGUUUGCCCUCACCCUUUCCUACGAUGGCGUUCUUUAAGGGAAUGACCGUUGGAUGAUUGGGUGAGGGCAUUCACGGGCCGCAGUGGCCAGGUCUGGGCGACUGUUUACUAAAAACACAGGUGCCUGCCAAGGAGUAAUCCGAUGUAUAGGUGCCGAUGCCUGCCCAGUACCGGAGUACUAAGGAAUCCUGUCCCGAAAGGGGCGGGAGACCGAACAACCGGCAAACGGCGGUCCGCGCCACAUUAAAUGGUGCGGACCCGAAGGUAGCGAAACUCCUCAGCGGAUAAUUUCCGCCAUGCCGAACGGCGCAACGACCCAGACGCUGUCUCGACGAGGGACCCGGUGAAACUGAAGUGUCUGUUAGUAUGCAGGCAACCCGCGGCGGGACGGGGAGUCCCCGGGAGCUUUACUGCAGCCUACUAUUGGGUGUGCGCAUCUAUGAAAAGUAGGAGGAAAAGUUGAUGUGGCCAAUUCAUUAAAAUUGGUCAUAUUAACUUUUCCCUAAGGUUUGAUACUGCCUUCAAGGUGCGCACACCCUAACCUCGCACCGGGCCUGAAGCCCGAGGGACAGUGGUAGGUGGGCAGUUUCGCUUGGUCGGCACCCUCCUAAAAGGUAACGGAGGGAUCCAAAGGUCUCCUCAGCACGCUUGGAAACCGUGCGUUGAGCGCAAGGGUAUAGAGGGGGCCUGACUGUGCGAGCCGCAACUCAAGCAGGGACGAAAGUCGGGCCUAGUGACGUGGUACUACCGUGUGGAAGGGGUACCGCGGCAACGGAUAAUGAGUUCCCCGGGAAAACAGGGCCGAUCUCCCCCGAUAGGCCACAUUGACGGGGAGGCUUGGUGCCUCGUUUCCGGCUCAUCGCAUCCUGGGGCUGAAGGAGGUCCCAAGGGUUGGGUUAACAGCCCAUUAAAGCGGUUUGUGAGCUAGAAUUAGAUCAUCGCAAGAUAGUUCAAGUCCUAUCCGCCGUGGGCGCUGGAGACUUGAGGGGAGCUGCCCCUAGUACGAAAGGAACGGGGCGGGCCAACCUCUGGCGUACCGGUUGUCUCGCCAGGGGCAUCGCCGGGUAGCUAAAGUUGGCUCGCGAUAAGCGCUGAAAGCAUCUAAGCGCGAAGCGCACCCCAAGACGAGGUCUCCUCAAUAGGCCCCGGGUAGACUACCCGGUGAUAGGCCGGAGGUGUAAGGACGGCAACGUCCUCAGCUUACCGGUACUAAUAGGCCGAAUGCAUUCGCAG
RNAcentral lists this ribosomal RNA (3105 nucleotides) under Pseudomonadota bacterium. RNAcentral describes it as "23S ribosomal RNA". It matches the Rfam family "Bacterial large subunit ribosomal RNA". RNAcentral also lists the same sequence under 1 other name. The record is from RNAcentral. Lineage: Bacteria; Pseudomonadati; Pseudomonadota.